Molecule: ribosomal RNA, 245 nt
Filed under: uncultured bacterium
Lineage: Bacteria
Description: partial 16S ribosomal RNA
Rfam family: Bacterial small subunit ribosomal RNA
Source: RNAcentral
UAUGGUGCAAGCGUUAUCCGGAUUUACUGGGUGUAAAGGGAGCGCAGGCGGCAUGGCAAGUCCGAUGUGAAAACCCGGGGCUCAACCCUGGGACUGCAUUGGAAACUGUCAGGCUAGAGUGUCGGAGAGGUAAGUGGAAUUCCUAGUGUAGCGGUGAAAUGCGUAGAUAUUAGGAGGAACACCAGUGGCGAAGGCGGCUUACUGGACGACAACUGACGCUGAGGCUCGAAAGCGUGGGGAGCAAA